Molecule: long non-coding RNA, 847 nt
Filed under: Marmota monax (woodchuck)
Lineage: Eukaryota; Metazoa; Chordata; Mammalia; Rodentia; Sciuridae
Rfam family: tRNA (bases 781-847)
Source: RNAcentral
GCGCUUGCCUAGCGCCCGCGGUGAGGAUCUUAGGUUUGACCUUCAGCACCACAUAAAGGAAAUAAGUGAAGGUACUGUCCACCUUCAACCAAAAGAAUUAAGAAGGAAAACUAGAAAGGGCUGGAUGGGGCUGGGGUAGAGUGCCCCCAGGGGCGGGGGUGGGUUCAACAGAAGAGAAGAACUUAAACCCUGAGAACUGUCAACACAUUGGAAAAAAGAAGGCCUAAGUAAAUGAAAUGACGUUCCCUAUAUGUGGGUCGAUACGGGGUCAAGUUGAUCUACCAAGUCAGUGUAGUCUUCAUUGAGCUCAUGUCUGGCUUCUUUGCCCAGAUUCACAAGCUGAUCCUCAAAUUGAUCUGUAAGUCGGGGAAUCCAGAGUGACCUACACACUGUUGAAAAGUAAUAAAGGUGGCGCAUGCCUAUAAUCCCAGCGGCUUGGGAGGCUGAGGCAGGAGGAUUGCGAGUUCAAAGCCAGCCUCAGCAACAGUGGGGCGCUAAGCAAUUCAAUGAUAUUCUGUCUCACAACAGGGCUGGGGAUGUGGCUCAGUGGUCAAGUGCCCCUGAGUUAAUCCCCAGCACCACCCCCAAAUAGUAACAAAGGUGACCAACUCCUCAAUUUUAAAACUUACCACAAAGCUAACGAAAUCAAGAAAAGCCAAGUGCUGUGUUGCACAUCUUCACCCCAGCAACUCCGGAGGCAGAGGCAGGAGGAUUGCCAGUUCAAGGCCAGCCUCAGCAACCUAGUGAGAACCUAUCUCAAAAAAUAAGGGUUGGGGGGCUGGGGCUGUAGCUCAGUGGUAGAGCACUUGCCUUGCAUGCGUGAGACUCUGGGUUCGAACCCCAGCAC